Molecule: ribosomal RNA, 757 nt
Filed under: uncultured archaeon
Lineage: Archaea
Description: bacterial SSU rRNA
Rfam family: Archaeal small subunit ribosomal RNA
Source: RNAcentral
CGAGUUGAUGGGAUACCUAAAUUUCCCAUGGCAAACUGCUCAGUAACACAUGAUCAACUUACCCUAUAGAGAAAAAUAACCUCGGGAAACUGAGGAUAAUAUUUCAUAGUUGAAUAGGCUUGGAAAAGUUUUUCAAUAAAAGGGAUAAAAAAAAUGGUUUUUAUCUGCUAUAGGAUAGGAUCGUGGACGAUUAUGGUUGUUGGUGAGGUAACGGCUCACCAAGCCGAUAAUCGAUAGGGGCCGUGAGAGCGGGAGCCCCGAGAUGGGUACUGAGACAACGACCCAGGCCUUACGAGGCGCAGCAGGCGCGGAACCUCCGCAAUACACGAAAGUGUGACGGGGUUACCCAAAGUGUUCAAUUCUGAACUGUGGUAGGUGAGUAAUGUUCCCUACUAGAAAGGAGAGGGCAAGGCUGGUGCCAGCCGCCGCGGUAAAACCAGCUCUUCAAGUGGUCGGGAUAAUUAUUGGGCUUAAAGUGUCCGUAGCCGGUUUAGUAAGUUCCUGGUAAAAUCGGGUAGCUUAACUAUCUGUAUGCUAGGAAUACUGCUAUACUAGAGGGCGGGAGAGGUCUGAGGUACUACAGGGGUAGGGGUGAAAUCUUAUAAUCCUUGUAGGACCACCAGUGGCGAAGGCGUCAGACUGGAACGCGCCUGACGGUGAGGGACGAAAGCCAGGGGAGCGAACCGGAUUAGAUACCCGGGUAGUCCUGGCCGUAAACGAUGCAUACUAGGUGAUGGUACGGCCAUGAGCCGUAUCA